RNAcentral lists this ribosomal RNA (515 nucleotides) under uncultured bacterium. RNAcentral describes it as "bacterial SSU rRNA". It matches the Rfam family "Bacterial small subunit ribosomal RNA", at positions 10 to 505 of the family's 1533-position model. The record is from RNAcentral.
UGUUUGAUCCUGGCUCAGAACGAACGCUGGCGGCGGGCCUAAUACAUGCAAGUCGAACGAGAAAAUCCGGCUUCGGCUGGGUGAGUAAAGUGGCGAACGGGUGAGUAACACGUGGGCAAUCUGCCCUUAAGUUUGGGAUAAGCCCUCGAAAGGGGGUCUAAUACCGGAUAAUAUCCGGAGAUGGCAUCUUUUCCGGAUCAAAGGCGGAGCAAUCUGCCACUUAGGGAUGAGCCCGCGUCCCAUUAGCUUGUUGGUGAGGUAACGGCUCACCAAGGCUGUGAUGGGUAGCCGGCCUGAGAGGGUGAUCGGCCACACUGGGACUGAGAUACGGCCCAGACUCCUACGGGAGGCAGCAGUAGGGAAUAUUGCGCAAUGGACGAAAGUCUGACGCAGCCACGCCGCGUGGAUGAUGAAGCUUUUCGGAGUGUAAAAUCCUGUCAGUGGGGAAGAACCGGUCGGGGAGUAACUGCCCCGGCCCUGACGGUACCCGCAGAGGAAGUUCCAGGCUAAGCUCC